UAGUGAGUUUGAUCCUGGCUCAGGAUGAACGCUGGCGGUCUGCUUAACACAUGCAAGUCGAACGAGACCUUCGGGUCUAGUGGCGCACGGGUGCGUAACGCGUGGGAACCUGCCUUAGGUUCGGAAUAACUCAGAGAAAUUUGAGCUAAUACCGGAUAAUGUCUUCGGACCAAAGAUUUAUCGCCUUUAGAUGGGCCCGCGUUGGAUUAGCUAGUUGGUGGGGUAAAGGCCUACCAAGGCGACGAUCCAUAGCUGGUCUGAGAGGAUGAUCAGCCACACUGGGACUGAGACACGGUCCAGACUCCUACGGGAGGCAGCAGUGGGGAAUUUGGACAAUGGGGCGCAAGCCUGACGGAGCAAGACCGCGUGAGGGGAAGAAGGCUCUUGGGGUUGUAAACCCUCUUUUCUCUGGGGAAGAACAAAAUGACGGUACCAGAGGAAUCAGCAUCGGCUAACUCCGUGCCAGCAGCCGCGGUAAUCU
RNAcentral lists this ribosomal RNA (481 nucleotides) under uncultured Porphyrobacter sp. Its description in RNAcentral is "bacterial SSU rRNA". It matches the Rfam family "Bacterial small subunit ribosomal RNA", at positions 1 to 526 of the family's 1533-position model. The record is from RNAcentral. Lineage: Bacteria; Pseudomonadati; Pseudomonadota; Alphaproteobacteria; Sphingomonadales; Erythrobacteraceae.